AGGCCUGGGCCUGAACAACAUGGCUUCCCCCAGGGUGAGAGUCGUUUGUCCUCCCACCGCCUGCUCUCUCCUGAUGACCAGGUUCCAGGAGUUAUCAAAGAACAGCCUCUGAGCUGCGUGGAGAAAGCCAUGGAGACAGCCAGAAGAAAACGGCAGGAUUAGAUUAACCUGUGAUUUCUGGCUGGCCACGAGGUCACCCAUGGCAUGGAGCUGCCCACAACGCCCUUCUCAGCGUGAAGCAUCCUGAAAGAUCCAGGGCCAGGUUCCCCAGGAAUGGGGAGUUGGAAGCUCAUUGGCACUGUCAAAUUUGAAGAAGAGGCGUGCUCUGACUGGUCCUAGCUUACUCUGCCACCACUGCCCGGCAGGAAGAAGUUCCCCAGCAGACAGUGGCCCCACAGCAACAGAGGCACAGCUUCGAGGGGGAGGAGUGUCCAGCAGGAUCUCAUAGAUCAGAACAUACUGGAGCCUGUAACCUGUGCACAGAGGGUGUGGAUUACACCAACGCUUCCAACAAUGAACCUUCUUGCUUCCCAUGUACAGUUUGUAAAUCAGAUCAAAAACAUAAAAGUUCCUGCACCAUG
This 581-nucleotide small RNA is filed under the name Pan troglodytes (chimpanzee). Its description in RNAcentral is "processed transcript". Lineage: Eukaryota; Metazoa; Chordata; Mammalia; Primates; Hominidae. The record is from RNAcentral.